Molecule: long non-coding RNA, 1192 nt
Filed under: Nicotiana tabacum (common tobacco)
Lineage: Eukaryota; Viridiplantae; Streptophyta; Magnoliopsida; Solanales; Solanaceae
Description: long non-coding RNA (NTAB_LNC019477)
Source: RNAcentral
UCAAAUUGAAGGUCUUGGAAUGUAGUUUCCAACACUCUUAACCGUUUUCUCAUACGACACCCGGAUAAAAAGUUAUAAGCAUUGCAAGAUGAGCCAAUUAUAGGGUGCCAAGUAGCACCUUUUGACUUUUCAACAAAAUGGAGAUUAUCUCCUUUAUCUCGUCUCUUUCUGCAUAUUUCCAGAGAGCACGACCAAAUAAUACCCCUAACAUCCUCCUUAAGCUCUCUACAAGGGUUUCAAAUAAUACCAUCAUCCCGGGCACGAAAUCACGAAGCAAUAACACAAGAACGAUCCCCACGACGUAAGUAUUGCUAUAUAACCUUUCUUUUUCUUUAUAGUUUGAGUGUUGGAAGGUAUUUAUAGUUAAGAAAAUUCUUAAUUUCUUGUUUUAAGCUCUUAAAUAUCAAUUAAGGUUGAUUAAUUCAUUUCAUAAUAUUUAGAACUCACGGGAACGUGAUCGGAAGCCGUGAGUUCGAGUUAUUUGAUUUGUAAUGGACUGUUUUGUGGGCUAUUUUGUGUAGCUUUUGGGCUAUAUCUUUUGCUGAUAUUUAAUGGAGUUUUUUGAGGAUGAAUGGUUUGAAGAAACACCACAUAUUUGUGAAAUAAUGGAUUAGGCAUUCUUUGUAAUAUUUUCGGGGUGUUGGACACUACUAUAGUCGUUGUUUUUGGUAUGAAUUGAUUGGGGUGUGUUGGGCUGUUGUAAGCUAAAUAUAAUAUAGAUUUUGACUUGCAUCUACUGUAGGAGGUAAUUAUAUCAUGUUCCAACAAGUGCUUAAGGUUAUAUUGACAUCGGUUGAGUUAAAUGGAUGAACUAGACAUGAACUAGUGAAUAAAGUUGCUAAUUAAGAAUAAUUGGAGUUGUGGAUCAUUUUCUUUGUUAUGGAUAUAUGGUAUAAGGUUGGAAUUAUUGAUUAAUGACUUCAUUAUCAUGUUAAUGAUACUAUUAAUUUAAAGUAAAAGUCUAUAAGGGAUAUACGAAUUCCAAUUGGAGCUUGUCGCUCGUCGUAAAAUAGUUAUGACUUGUUGUAGUUUUAUGGUGUCUUGUUAUUGAUAAUUGGUAUUGAUGGAUUUCUCUGGUAAUUCUUGUUGGUAUAUGGUAUUGGAGUAGGCUCUUGUUACUGGGGAGAUGCUGCCCGGAUUUAUAUAAAUAAGCUACAAGUUUAAGUUGCAAACUUAGCCUUUAUUCAACACG